AGAGAAUCGCUUGAACCCAGGAGGCAGAGGUUGCGGUGAGCCGAGAUGGUGCCAUUGCAUUCCAGCCUGGGCAACAGAG
RNAcentral lists this small nuclear RNA (79 nucleotides) under Homo sapiens (human). RNAcentral describes it as "partial ncRNA". The record is from RNAcentral. Lineage: Eukaryota; Metazoa; Chordata; Mammalia; Primates; Hominidae.